Non-coding RNA from Meleagris gallopavo (turkey), 5478 nucleotides. Lineage: Eukaryota; Metazoa; Chordata; Aves; Galliformes; Phasianidae. The record is from RefSeq and is a predicted model, not a curated record.
CCGCGCUCUGCCUUCGGGGGUCGGGAGGCGCCUGGCUGGGAGGAUUGUGGUGCUGAUCCGCCUUGAAUGGUAGCGGGCACCUCGCGAGAUGCUCAGUGCCGUUCUAGGCGCUGUACCUCACAGAACCAUUCGAGUCCUUGGAAGUGUUUCGGUAACAAAACGAGGAGAGCGAGGUUUCAAUUCCAGUUAGGCAGCCGUUAGUUCUCCAUAAAUGGAGCAGUGGUUGAAAUGCCAGCAGCCGUGUUGUGGAGAGCGGCUGACACAGCCUCACAGCAGUGGGGAGACGUGGGGAGGCACGGCAGUCCUGAUGCCGCAGGAGGUGACCGUCCCUCCGCACUGGCACUGAGUGGUGUGAAACUUGUGAGGUGAACUGGAGACAGCUGAAGCAAUCCUGCUGGCAAGUUGCAAAAGCUGAUCUGCCUUCUGUGAGCCACCCUGAGAGUUACUGAAACAUCUCUGCUUUAGCAGAACCAACAUGUAAGCUGAACGCCUCGAGCACUGCUACAAUGCCCUGGAGGACUCAACAAGCCUGAACAAGAAGUAGCACUUAGCCUUCCUGCUGCACCAUGUACCCCUGCAAGUUUUUGGUAGCUUCCUCGUAGGAUUUGGUUUUGACAGAGCCUGGGUACCGUGUGCUUUAGCUCUGCAAAAACAAAAAUCACAAUUACAGAGCAAAGCAGUGUUACCAGCAUCUCCAGUGUUUUGAGUAGAUACCAAAGGUUAAUGUUCGCUUAUCUGCAGUCACACCCAGGCAAUUCCAGCAAGGAGCAACAAUUCAGCUGGCUUCUCUCAUGGUGGCCAGUGUUUCUGUGUUGAGACUGUGUAUCCCCUAGCCCCUGUCCUAGGAGCUGCCACAGGGCCAUGAGCUUUGCAGGAAGGAAGAGAGGCUACAGUGGUCUUGUACUUCUUGAGCUAUGUAAGUGAGAGAAUGCUCAGUCUGGAAAAAUUAUAUAAAGGGUUGUUUCUGUUUCUUCAUAUGGCCUUUCCGACAUGGAAUGAGAGGAAUGUUUACCUUCUAUUUUCUGCACUCAUGGCAGAGCCACUCUUUGAUUCCUCACUCCUUUUUGUCUUCUUUAAGGUUGACAGCAAAGGACUGGAAUUGAGUUGUUUAUGACUGUUAGUCACUAUGUCCAUGAGAGGAAAUUACUUUUUUAUUAUUUGAUGGCACUGUGCACUCAAGUUCAUUUCUCAGCAUUAUCCCAUUAAGGGAGAUCUGGCCAACAGCUUUUCAACACUCCCCCGCAUCAGGACAAAUUUCCAUCAUGGAGUUCUGAUGAGAGAUCCGACAGCCAGUUUGUCUUCAAGCUUCUCCUUGACAGCCAGGAAAUGAGUAAGUGCAAAUACUGCAUAUACUGCAUAACUGCACUUCCAACUCUGUAAUGCUUACUUUUUACCUUCUGUUUAAGUGGGUUGAAAACCCAGGUAUUCAGAUAAAAUGUGUAACAGUACAGAGACUUGAGAGCACUUUGACACAACAGCUUUUAAAGAGCGCAUGGACCAGCACUCUGAAUUUCUCAGAAAGCUCCCACAACCCACACUGCACAUGUUACGCCUUCUGGAAGGACUGAUGCAAGCAGCCCUCUCUCAUCCUGUGCUGGGAAGUGCCAGGGCUCCACACCUGGCCCUGCCAGCAGCCCUGUUGGAUCAGGGAGCAGGGAAGGGACAUAAUGAGCCUCUGGCUGCCAAUGAAAGCUCACUCCCGCUACAUAUUUGCCAAAAACUAUUCCUCACUCUACAACUCAAGCCAGAGUGACAUGAAAGCAAGGAUGUCCAGAGAGACAGUGGCUGCCAGACACUAGCUGUGAUUAAUCCCAAGAAAUUUGGGAAGAGCCAGAGCCAUAUUCUAAUUACACUACUGUUGCCUAGACACCACGUGGGUAGCAGGGAAGAGGAUCUGUGUUUAGGAAACUGUCUCCUUGCUCCACCUGAACUCUGAACUGCUGAGACUGUUGCAGACACACUGCUGAAAUAUAGCAACUUGAGCUGAUUCUAGUUUGGACAUCAGUUUUAAAGUUCUCAUUAGCUAUAUAGAAAACUAGUCUCGACCUUCAUUAUGGUGAUAGAGGUGCUGGCAAAAGGGAACACACUCUCGUUGUUAACCAGAAAUGGAUACUGGUAUUUCCAGUCCUUCUUCUGAGACUGUCUUAACUUGCAAGAAGGUAAUGAUUGAGAUUCAUCCUUCAUCUUUAUAUUCUCUACUGGAGAAGAAAAGAGGGGGUGAAAAACAGCGUUAAUAGUCUGGCCAUGAAAUUGUUUCCUCAGUAAAGUCAACGGUGUUUCAGCUUUCCAGUUGCAAUGAGAAGUGAUGUCUACAAUAACAAUUUAUGAGAAAACGUCACUGGGGAGAACUGUGACCAACUCGUUUUCUGUCACUUUUGCAGGAUGUUGUACCAGUGCACUGUUUAACUAGCCCCAACAAAAAUGCAUUAAUUUAAUUUCAGCUUCUUAAUUACCACUAUUAAUCUAUUGCUUCCUGAGACUCGCACUGCUACAGCAUGCCUACGUGCAUACUUUUUUGUGCCUGUAGGCAAUGCUGUUCUCAGGUGGCAACAGGCAUCUGUUUUAUCACUUCUUGGCAGCCAGAAUACAGCAAGUCUGGAGGAGAAUCAGGCCCUCCCUUUGCUUGGAUAGCAACUAGAGCACCAUUAUUUGAGAAGGGAAAAAUUGCCUGAAGCUGUGUUGAAAGCUCUUGUCUUUAUUAGUGGAAGUAUUAAUGUUUCCCAACAUGCUCUGAAUUUAUAGUCAAGUAUUUUGCCUUCAGUUUGGAGUUGCUUGUAAAAGCUGCCUGCUGCAGAAGCUGGGGUAUAGCCCUACAGUUUGAAAGAUGUCCUCAGGCUGACUGGAGUUAGAGCCCUCAUUCUUCUCUAGAGGGGAGCAAGUUCAUCUGUGAAAAGUAAGAGAACCUAAUACAGAGCUUAACACAGAUAAAGCACCACCAAAUAUUGUCACCAUUCCUCAGAAAGGUUAAAUGUCCUAAAGUCAUAUAGUAGGAAUCAAAAAGACUGGAUCAUGCCUAAAACGCAACGCAUACGAGACCAAGUUCCUAAGCAGUUCUAGCCAUAGACCUCUCCAUCAAGUUAAACAGAUUGCUACCUACUUAGAUCUGGAGCUUAUUUUUAAGCCCAGAGAGAGCAGUGAUAGCCAGGAGGGAAGGCAGAGCUGCACCUAGCCCAGGGCUUUAAGACAUUUGCAGCUAAAUCACAUCUGUAGUCCACUGGUAGACUGAUUUGAAUGGGAAGAAUGGAAUAAGAUGAGUAAGUAGCUCUGUGAGUAAGGAUACCAAGAUCUGGCCUUCUAGAUUUAAUACUUUAAUCUGUCCAAAUGUAUCACUGCUGUAAUUACAGCCACAGCACAGUCCUUGAGUAGCUCAAGAUUAGAGACCAUUGAUAAUCCCAGCUGUGUCACACAGAUGAAAGCUAUUAAGUGGAUUUACAGAGGACAUGAGGUAUAUAGAAACUCAUUAUUUUCCCACUGAGACAAAACUAUUCAUUAGUAUAUGACAGAGAGCACACUCUGGAAAAUUGGAAGUGGGUUAUUGAAAAUGAGCGUAUCCCAAUAGUCCUAACACAUACGUGAUGAACUGGUUAUUAAUAUUCAAUCCAGCAAGCUCUGUCACUAAGGUUGAGUCCCAUUCCUGAUGGUAAGUCUGCAUGCCCUAGAUGGUACUGAUCUGCAGCGUAAGAAAAAGUAACUCUAAAAUCCAGGAUCAUAUUGCAGUCAAUGCAAAUUUCAGGCAGGAGGGUGUUGAUUUAAGUUCACACAUGCAAAAUCAACAGUAGAGUUCAUUUUAAAAUGUUACUUCAGCCAUCUCCACUGCAGCUGAUACAUUAAUUAUGCCACAAUUUUAUUAAUUCGGUCUUUAAAGGCUCCCUUGCGAAAUCUUGUGCGAACAAUUACAGUAAGCAACUGCUCUGGUUUGAUGUGGUUUCACUGCACCUGCUGUCCCCAGGCUGUACUAGUUAAUUGUUCUUGUUUAUCCCACCCUACUCUUCUCUAGUGAUUUGCUUGGCACCGCAAAGACAGCUCACACCACUUAUAAAGCGCUGUUUAUUCCUGGCAGCCAGAAGUUGAAGAUGUGCCUCUUUUCUUGCUAUGAGCUGCAGCCCACUUAAAACAGCUGGAGGGGAAGUGAGCAGAUGUUCAGCUGUGCUAAGAGGUCUGAUUACCGUUGCAGCGUGGAGGAAAAGCAAACACACAAAAAACAUACCUGCAGUUUGUCCCAAGUCCUGUGUCUGCAUAUUUACCUUUGAGAGGCAUAGCUGUAGGUCUUGUCUGUUCUUCAGGAGCUUUCCAGGAAAAAUAACACGGUAGGAGUUCCUGUUUGUGCUGACCUCCCAGGACCAGGGAUUAGGAGCUGCAGUUUCAAGGCUGCUAGUAAAGGAUUUGGGUACUGAAUAGUCUAACCAUGAAGCACCUGUUUUCUAGGGUGUGGGUAGCAAGUCCAGGCAUCUUAUUCGAGGGCAGGGAGAAGCCUCAGGUGGGAAGUCUCACUAGCCAACCCACUGAGUCCUGGGAAGCUGCAGCCACCACAAGGCUGAAAACACUGUGUGGAGAGAUGUCUUCAAGCUCUCCUUCAUUUCAUAGAUGAACAGAAAGGGAGGCAAAUGCUUCAAUUCUGCUAACAUUAGAUGGAAGUCCUGGUACCUUGGACUGUCCCCCUCCUCAACCACUUUCUAACUGUCCAAGCUGUAAAUCACAUAGCAUUUUUCUAAAGUGAAGUGAACAUAAGGCCAAAACAAACAAACAAACAAACAAACCCAAAAUCAAAAUAAAAACAUAUUUGGCAUUUCACUCUGGCAUGGAGUUGGGACUGAGAAUAUCUUUGAAGUCCAACAGCCUAUAGGAACAGCUUCAAAUUGUGACAGAAAGCAAGAUUAUCUUUGAACCAGAAAACUCGUUGUGGGGAAGUCUUUACAGUGAUACAGCAUCCUUAUGAAUUCCAACAUACUGUUUGGGUUGCCAGCAGACAGAAAGUAAGUAAGACAACUGCUGGGUUUGCACCAAUGGAAGACAGUAUUUACAUUAACAUCAAAGGCUGUACCUCAUCCCUUUACUCAUGGACAGGUACAGCAUCAAACAUGUCUUCUCUGCACCUGGAAAUAGCUGCAUAUUCUGACAUGUGCAGUCCAGGUGAGCCAGCCAGCAUUUACAGGAGCUACUACAGUGCAUGCACCUUUACAGCAAAAGCACGUUAAGCAGUGGAGGAAAUACAAGGUAUAAAAACUCUCUUUCCUUCUUCCUUCAUUCCCACUCUAUCUCAGUGCUCAUGCUGAAAGAGUGGUACAAAGGAUUCUCACAGCUAUGGCAGAGAUGAACAAAUGGCUGGUACUGUGACCCACAGGGGUGUGCCAUGCCUAUGUCCAAGCAUGUCCUGAAGUGUUAACUUAGUACAAAGAGAGGAUAUUUUUAUUGAUAAACAUUAUAUUGUCUUAGUGUAGAUGUCGGACACAUUAUUAAAUCAAAUGACAAAACACUGAA